CCCUGUGUGGUAUAAAUGGUAAAUAUACUUGACUGUUAGCUAAUCAAAGGUUGGAGGUUCGAGUCCACCCAAAGGUG
Molecule: transfer RNA, 77 nt
Filed under: Loxodonta africana (African savanna elephant)
Lineage: Eukaryota; Metazoa; Chordata; Mammalia; Proboscidea; Elephantidae
Rfam family: tRNA
About the family: Transfer RNA (tRNA) molecules are approximately 80 nucleotides in length.
Source: Rfam by way of RNAcentral